GAUCAUGGCUCAGGACGAACGCUGGCGGCGUGCCUAAUACAUGCAAGUCGAACGAGAGCGACCGGUGCUUGCACUGGUCAAUCUAGUGGCGAACGGGUGAGUAACACGUGGGUAACCUNCCCAUCAGAGGGGGAUAACAUUCGGAAACGGAUGCUAAAACCGCAUAGGUCCUUUAACCGCAUGGUUGAAGGAGGAAAAGAGGCGCAAGCUUCUGCUGAUGGAUGGACCCGCGGUGCA
RNAcentral lists this ribosomal RNA (237 nucleotides) under uncultured bacterium. RNAcentral describes it as "partial 16S ribosomal RNA". It matches the Rfam family "Bacterial small subunit ribosomal RNA", at positions 15 to 240 of the family's 1533-position model. The record is from RNAcentral.